AACGAACGCUGGCGGCGUGGAUUGGGCAUGCAAGUCGAACGAGAAAGGUUCUUUCGGGGACCGAGUAAAGUGGCAAACGGGUGAGUAACGCGUGGGAAACCUACCCUUCAGUUAGGGAUAACACUUCUAACGAGGUGCUAAUACCGAAACGAUCUUUCCAUCACAUGAUGGAUUGAUGAAAGGCGGCCUCUGUUUUAAGCUGUCGCUGAAAGAUGGUCCCGCGUCCCAUUAGCUUGUUGGUGAGGUAACGGCUCACCAAGGUGACGAUGGGUAGCCGGCCUUAGCGGGUGACCGGCCACACUGGGAUUGAGAUACGGCCCAGACUCCUACGGGAGGCAGCAGUCGAGAGGCAUCCACAAUGGGGGAAACCCUGAUGGUGCGACGCCGCGUGGGUGAUGAAGGUUUUCGGAUCGUAAAACCCUUUCAGCAAGGACGAAUUUAUGGGGUUAAUACCAUCUAAUAAUUGACGGUACUUGCAAAAGAAGCUCCGGCUAACUCCGUGCCAGCAGCCGCGGUAAGACGGGGGGAGCAAGCGUUGUUCGGAUUUACUGGGCGUAAAGGGCGUCUAGGCGGAUUAGCAAGUCAGAUGUGAAAUCCCACGACUCAAUCGUGGAACUGCAUUUGAAACUGCUGGUCUUGAGUACGGAAGAGGAAAGCGGAAUUCCUGGUGUAGCGGUGAAAUGCGUAGAUAUCAGGAAGAACACCGGUGGCGAAGGCGGCUUUCUGGUCCGAUACUGACGCUAAAGCGCGAAAGUGUGGGGAGCAAACAGGAUUAGAUACCCUGGUAGUCCACACUGUAAACGAUGGAUACUAGGUGUCGGAGAUCCGACCUCUCCGGUGCCGAAGCUAACGCAUUAAGUAUCCCGCCUGGGGAGACGGUCGCAAGGUU
This 889-nucleotide ribosomal RNA is filed under the name uncultured bacterium. Its description in RNAcentral is "bacterial SSU rRNA". It matches the Rfam family "Bacterial small subunit ribosomal RNA", at positions 28 to 895 of the family's 1533-position model. The record is from RNAcentral.